RNAcentral lists this long non-coding RNA (659 nucleotides) under Physcomitrium patens. RNAcentral's name for it is "long non-coding RNA (PPAT_LNC001104)". Lineage: Eukaryota; Viridiplantae; Streptophyta; Bryopsida; Funariales; Funariaceae. The record is from RNAcentral.
UUAAAACUGGAAAUGCAGUAGAUGAAACCACAUUGUGUGGACCCCUUCAUUCCAAGCACUCUAAGGCAUGCUUCGAAGAGGGUAUUAAGAAAAUCAAGGCUCAGGCAAUGAUUCUGUACCUUCAUGUCACUAACGUGCUUAUUCAGCUGAGUGUGCUUAGAAAUUAGCCUUGAGCAUUGAUUGUAUUUAGCACCAUUGUAUCAGAACCGAAGCGUAGGGUACCCCAAUAAAUAAUCAUAAUCACAAAAGGUAGCUUAGUAGUCCGUGCUUAUGUUUUGAUAGUAAUGCAAGGGUUAAGUGCGUCUGAUUUCAUUUAUUGCCUCAUACCUCAGCAUAAAACUUUUGAAUUUUGGACUGGAUACGCUUUUCAGGGCGGCAAAAUUUUGACUGGUGGCUCUGUGAUUGAUCGUGAUGGCAACUUUGUCGAACCGACUGUAGUCGAGAUAUCACAUGAUGCAGAAAUUGUGAGGGAAGAAUUGUUUGGUCCCGUCCUGUAUGUCUUCAAAAUCAAGGUAUGCCGUUUGGAUUACCUACUACUAUGAUGUAGGUUAGUUCUUUCUUCUUAUAUUUUGUCCACGGCCUGCCUUAGAUUGUAUUAGUUUACCUUCAUUCUAUGCUGCAUCGUCCUCUACUAUAUACUUAAUCAAACGCUGGUGCCA